GGGCGAAUGGUUUAGUGGUAUAAUACUCCCUUAGCAUGACUUUCGCAUCUGGGAGUGGUCCAGGGUUCGAUUCCCUGUUCGUCCA
Non-coding RNA from Epichloe festucae Fl1, 85 nucleotides. NCBI's taxonomy places the organism in Eukaryota, Fungi, Ascomycota, Sordariomycetes, Hypocreales, Clavicipitaceae. The record is from the annotation of a GenBank genome assembly.